AGUCUACUACUUGUGACUUCGGUCACGUUAUGGUGGUGGCAGACGGCUUAGUAACACGUAAGUAAUCUACCCUCAAGUGGGGGAUAAUCCGAAGAAAUUCGGUCCAAUACCCCAUAAUGUUUUAAUAUAUAUGUAUUAAAAAGAAAGAUUUAUCGCUUUUGGAGGAGCUUGCGGCCUAUCAGGUAGUUGGUAAGGGUAAUGGCCUACCAAGCCAAAGACGGGUAACCGAAGUGAGAGCUUGAUCGGUAAGAGGGGGACUGAGACACGGCCCCCACUCCUACGGGAGGCAGCAGCAGGGAAUCUUGCGCAAUGGACUGUAUGGUCUGACGCAGCGACACCGCGUGGAGGAUGAAUGCUUUCGGGUUGUAAACUCCUUUUCUUAGGGAAGAUGAUGACGGUACCUAAGGAAUAAGCAUCGGCUAACUACGUGCCAGCAGCCGCGGUAAUACGUAGGAUGCGAGCGUUGUCCGGAAUUAUUGGGCGUAAAGGGCGUCUAGGUUGAAUAAUAAGUCCUGUGUGAAAUCUCUUGGCUCAACCAAGAAAUGUCACAGGAAACUAUUAAUCUAGAGGUCAUCAGAGGUAAGUGGAAUUCACGGAGUAGUGGUGAAAUGCGUAGAUACCGUGAGGAACACCA
This 634-nucleotide ribosomal RNA is filed under the name uncultured bacterium. RNAcentral describes it as "bacterial SSU rRNA". It matches the Rfam family "Bacterial small subunit ribosomal RNA", at positions 60 to 711 of the family's 1533-position model. The record is from RNAcentral.